CCUACGGGAGGCAGCAGUGAGGAAUAUUGGUCAAUGGCCGGGAGGCUGAACCAGCCAAGUCGCGUGAGGGAAGACGGCCCUACGGGUUGUAAACCUCUUUUGUCAGGGAGCAAGGUGCAGGUCGGGACCUGCUGUGAGAGUACAUGAAGAAAACGCAUCGGCUAACGCCGUGCCCGCAGCCGCGGUAAUACGGAGGAUGCGAGCGUUGUCCGGAUUUUUUGGGGUUAAAGGGUGCGCGGGCGGAGGUCCAAGUUAGAGGUAAAAUCGCGGGGCUCAAACCCGCACCGACGUUGAAACUGUGUCCCUUGAGUGCGCGAAGGGUAGGCGGAAUGCGUGGUGUAGCGGUGAAAUGCAUAGAUAGCACGCAGAACGCCGAUCGCGAAGGCAGCCGACCGGGGCGCAACUGACGCUCAUGCACGAAAGCGUGGGUAUCGAACAGGAUUAGAUACCCUUGUAGUC
This 459-nucleotide ribosomal RNA is filed under the name uncultured bacterium. Its description in RNAcentral is "partial 16S ribosomal RNA". It matches the Rfam family "Bacterial small subunit ribosomal RNA", at positions 338 to 795 of the family's 1533-position model. The record is from RNAcentral.